GACGAACGCUGGCGGCGUGCCUAAUACAUGCAAGUAGAACGCUGAAGGAGGAGCUUGCUUCUCUGGAUGAGUUGCGAACGGGUGAGUAACGCGUAGGUAACCUGCCUGGUAGCGGGGGAUAACUAUUGGAAACGAUAGCUAAUACCGCAUAAGAGUAGAUGUUGCAUGACAUUUGCUUAAAAGGUGCAAUUGCCUCACUACCAGAUGGACCUGCGUUGUAUUAGCUAGUUGGUGAGGUAACGGCUCACCAAGGCGACGAUACAUAGCCGACCUGAGAGGGUGAUCGGCCACACUGGGACUGAGACACGGCCCAGACUCCUACGGGAGGCAGCAGUAGGGAAUCUUCGGCAAUGGACGGAAGUCUGACCGAGCAACGCCGCGUGAGUGAAGAAGGGUUUCGGAUCGUAAAGCUCUGUUGUAAGAGAAGAACGAGUGUGAGAGUGGAAAGUUCACACUGUGACGGUAUCUUACCAGAAAGGGACGGCUAACUACGUG
RNAcentral lists this ribosomal RNA (495 nucleotides) under uncultured bacterium. Its description in RNAcentral is "partial 16S ribosomal RNA". It matches the Rfam family "Bacterial small subunit ribosomal RNA", at positions 28 to 507 of the family's 1533-position model. The record is from RNAcentral.